GUAACACAGGUUUUCAUUCGAUCACCGAAGUUAAGCAACAUUGAACCUGGUUGGUACCUGGAUGGGUGACCACUUGGGAAUAUUAGGUUCUGUA
This is a non-coding RNA of Acanthosepion pharaonis, 94 nucleotides long. The record is from the annotation of a GenBank genome assembly. Lineage: Eukaryota; Metazoa; Mollusca; Cephalopoda; Sepiida; Sepiidae.